GUUCCAUUGGGGGCAUCUGAUACAAUUGGAAUGAUACAGAUAAGAUUAACAUGCUUUCUGCGCAAGAUGACACGGACAGGUAUAUUAUUGUGCCCUAGUUUA
Small nuclear RNA from Lycium barbarum (goji berry), 102 nucleotides. The record is from RefSeq and is a predicted model, not a curated record. Lineage: Eukaryota; Viridiplantae; Streptophyta; Magnoliopsida; Solanales; Solanaceae.